This 999-nucleotide ribosomal RNA is filed under the name uncultured bacterium. RNAcentral describes it as "bacterial SSU rRNA". It matches the Rfam family "Bacterial small subunit ribosomal RNA", at positions 505 to 1502 of the family's 1533-position model. The record is from RNAcentral.
GUGCCAGCAGCCGCGGUGAUACACUAGGGUGCAAGCGUUAAUCGGAAUUACUGGGCGUAAAGGGAGCGUAGGUGGCUCGAUAAGUCAGAUGUGAAAUCCCCGGGCUCAACCUGGGAACUGCAUCUGAUACUGUUGAGCUAGAGUAUGUGAGAGGAAGGUAGAAUUCCAGGUGUAGCGGUGAAAUGCGUAGAGAUCUGGAGGAAUACCGAUGGCGAAGGCAGCCUUCUGGCAUAAUACUGACACUGAGGCUCGAAAGCGUGGGUAGCAAACAGGAUUAGAUACCCUGGUAGUCCACGCCGUAAACGAUGUCUACUAGUCGUUGGGUCCCUUGAGGACUUAGUGACGCAGCUAACGCAAUAAGUAGACCGCCUGGGGAGUACGGCCGCAAGGUUAAAACUCAAAUGAAUUGACGGGGGCCCGCACAAGCGGUGGAGCAUGUGGUUUAAUUCGAUGCAACGCGAAGAACCUUACCUGGUCUUGACAUAUCUAGAAUCCUGCAGAGAUGCGGGAGUGCCUUCGGGAAUUAGAAUACAGGUGCUGCAUGGCUGUCGUCAGCUCGUGUCGUGAGAUGUUGGGUUAAGUCCCGCAACGAGCGCAACCCUUGUCCUUAGUUACCAGCGGGUUAAGCCGGGAACUCUAAGGAUACUGCCAGUGACAAACUGGAGGAAGGCGGGGACGACGUCAAGUCAUCAUGGCCCUUACGACCAGGGCUACACACGUGCUACAAUGGUAGGUACAGAGGGCAGCUACACAGCGAUGUGAUGCGAAUCUCAAAAAGCCUAUCGUAGUCCAGAUUGGAGUCUGCAACUCGACUCCAUGAAGUAGGAAUCGCUAGUAAUCGCGGAUCAGAAUGCCGCGGUGAAUACGUUCCCGGGCCUUGUACACACCGCCCGUCACACCAUGGGAGUUGAUUGCACCAGAAGUGGAUAGCUUAACCUUCGGGGGAGCGUUCACCACGGUGUGGUUGAUGACUGGGGUGAAGUCGUAACAAGGUAACCG